This 808-nucleotide long non-coding RNA is filed under the name Capsicum annuum. Its description in RNAcentral is "long non-coding RNA (CANN_LNC020416)". Lineage: Eukaryota; Viridiplantae; Streptophyta; Magnoliopsida; Solanales; Solanaceae. The record is from RNAcentral.
UUGGAAAAAAAUGUAGUGCUUUAUACACGUAGUGGGAUCAUAUUUCUGUUCAUUUAAUAAAUAACCUUACCAAAUUAAACGAGUGUGCGAUCGUGUUAACCAAUUUGAGCUCAUGAACUCAAAAAUUUAGUAAUGCCCAACUGAAUAAUAUUACUAAAAAUUCUAUCAACUCAAAAAUAUGUUACAAUACGAAAGAGAUCACGUCUCCUUGGAAGCCACACGUUGCUUGAAACGGAUCAGGUAAUUUAUUAGUCUUUAUCAUGGUUAAGGAGCAUUUGGCCUCUUUAUAUGAUCUCCAGCAAUCCUCACCUCUUCUGCUAGCUUUUAGGUUGAGUUAGGUCUAAGGUCCAUUUCUUUAGCUCAUCACAUAAAUUAUCAAGAAGUGAAUUCUUGUUAAUCAGUGUCGCAGAGCGGCUAACGAGUCACACUAUAUUCUGCAGUUGCUAUGCCGGUGCUAAAUGGUGACAGGGACGAGUAGCACUGCAUCUACAGCCUAAACUAUCGUUGAAAGGCUUAAGAGAGGUCAGGAAGGACAAAUCAAAGAGAAGGGUGGUUCGUUGAUCAGUAUGAACUUCAGCAUGAAGUGGUUGGGUUCACUCCUUCUCGAGGAAGGGAUUCAACGUAUUAGGCAAAACGCAGUAGCUUUAUCUUAUCUAGUGUCUGAAAAUAUUUAACUCCCAAAAAAGGAUUACGGUUCAGAAACAUAGACUAAAAAUCCUGGCUCCACUUUGCUUAUUUAGUAAUGUUUUCUUAGGAUGAUGUUUGGAUCUAUCCUAAAUACAGACUUGUACUAUGUAACUAUUUUGCU